UACGAAAGAGGGGCGUCAGCAUUGCUGUGGUGUUGGCAAUCGCCCCCCCCCCACGCUGACCUCUCCCUCAUUGCCCCACUUGCAUGCAUCCACUCACGCCACCUCCUCAUACACGCAUACGUCAUCCUAACAAAAGAAGGAGUGCGAGAGAAAGAGAGAGUGCCAGCAGAGUGAGGCGCAACGGCCAGCGGCAGAGAGCGCAUACGCGAACAUCGCUGCACAACGGAACCGCUCGAGAGCAAGGGAAGCAGACGCGCACCCGCUACACAGAGAGUUUUUAAAGAGGAAUCAACCUCCAUCACAUCAGAGAUCGGCUGACGCGCAUCCGCUGCAGACGAGUAAGUUUGCAAGUCGGGGUACAAGAGGGCUUGCGAAGGACAACGUUUGUGUGCGCGUGUGUGUGCUCUGUCGUAUCUAAUCGAGACGGCCAUGCUUGCAUCGUCGUCGUCACCGCGGUACGCGGACGGCGUCGCAGCAACAGAGGUGUCGGGUGCCGUCUCAUCGGCCGCGGUGGCCGCGGCGCUGCCCGCAUCGGGUAGUCUCUCCACAAAUGCCGUGACGCGCAACUUCUCUGACCUCCACGCCCCGACGUGGUUUGCGCUGCUCUCCGCCAACAUUGGGGCUCGCACAUUUCUCUUCCACCCCAUACAGCUCGCGAUCAGUCGCAAGCGCGUGACGCGCGAAAGCACGCCGCCGACGGUCAUCGGCCUUGUGAAGGCGUCCUACCGCGGCGGUCGCACCUCGGCGUACGGCGCCACGUGCACCAAGGGUCAGUACGACUUUGGCAAGGGCGGCGUCCGAGGAUGCUAUCGUGGGGUCGGGGCGGCGCUGCUGUGCAACCUGCUGGGCGAGACCAGCUACCUUUUCACGCUGGAGGCGGUGAAGGAGUACGUGGAGGCCGCCUCGCCCAAGCGCGCGGAGAACGUAUUCGCAGCAAGCAGCUACUCCGCCGCGGUGGGGGCAAUGUGCGGCGACCUCGUCGCCCUGCUCCUCGUCAGUCCCCUUGUUAUUGUGUGCAACCGACAGAUGACGGCGGGGUACAGUAUGGCGUCGACGAACUCGUACACGAACGUGCCGCAGACAUUCCGCACGGUUUGGGGACUGUAUCAGAAGAAAGAAGUCGCGGCUGGACGCGUCUGGCCCGGCGAGCGCGUUCGCUGUGGAUUGAGUGGUGUGUAUCAGGGUCUGAGUGCGGGUCUGCUGCGCAUACCAUCGAGCGGGUGCUGGUGGGGGCUUUACACAAAGUCAAAGGAGGCGCUCUACGUCGUUGCUGCACCAAAGCUGGCCGUGUGGGAACAGGAGUACCGGGACGCCGCCGCGGCGGCGUCAGACACCAAGUCGGUUCCCCUGUGGCGGCAGAAUUGGCUCCUUUCUCCAACGGACAACCCGCUGUUGAACGCGGUGGCGAGUAUCAUUGCCAGCGUGUGCACGACGCUCCUCUUCAACCCCAUUGCGGUUAUUCAGACUCGUCAGCAAGCCCUUCCGCCGGGGCUUUGGGAGGAGCAGACGAUGGUGGCUGCUGGAGGGGGUGGGGCAGCGUCCUCAUUGUCGCCAACGGUGCGAAAGCAAACGUGGAAGUCGUCGCUGCCGUUCCGCCGCGUCUACCGCGUCGCCAACGACCUCGCGCGCAAGGAAGGUGUGCGGGGCUUCUUCAAGGGUUCACUGGCAAACAUGUCCGUUGCCGUGCUGGACGGCAUCUUCUUCACAUUACUGUUCGAGUUCACGAAACUCGGCAGCGACAUGCAGUUCCUCGAGAAGCUUCACACAGACUAAUCAGCCAAGGCAUCAUAGGGCGCAAGCGGCGCGGGGUCCACCACGAUGGAAGACGCGGAGAAGGUGACGGAGGGGGGGGGGGGGGCAGAGAACUCGGCGGAGUACAUCUAGCGGAUGGUGGCAGUGAUGCGAAUUCGUGCGUGGGCUUCUCUGUGUGUAUACAUCAAGAGAAGGAAGCUCUCUUGCUGUCUGUUCUGCUGUUGCCGACUCGACAUACCGUGUAGCGACGCAGUCCUCCCACCCCCCGCCCUGCCGCCAGCCCCUCUCCUUAUCCCUGUCACCUUCGAUUCACCUUCAUGGCCAUCCCUUAUUGUCGCUCCGUAUCGACUCUGUCACACGCGCGGGCACGUGCUCAGGUAUGCUUUACACGUAUUCAUCUGCAUUCUUAGAGAUGCGUCUGUGCGCGUGGCUUCUAGUUUUCUGUGGUCACUAAGAGCGCCACGCACGCUGUCCGCGACUAUGACGGCUGAGCGUGUGUGUCGAACGUGCUACCGCGCUACCACAGCUGCUCUGCCCCCUCCCCCCCCCACACACACACACUGGCCCUGAGCCUCGCUCUCUCUCUUUUGGAAGCCCACCUUUUCUUAUUUUUUUUCUUCUCGAGGGAGAGCAACAGCAGCAGCAGCAGCAGGGGCGACGGGGAGGGAGGGGAGGAGGAGGGCGUAGUAGUACCUCACGUUGUCACCAGGCUCCCGGUGGUUCGUGUCGAGGGAGCACACCGCCCCCCUCCCUCUCUCGCUCCGAUACCUUGUCUCCCCCAUUUUACAUCCGUGUGUGUUCG
This 2554-nucleotide unclassified non-coding RNA is filed under the name Leishmania donovani. Its description in RNAcentral is "gene:LdHU3.18.1260(CDS-product:Mitochondrial_carr ier_protein_putative)". Lineage: Eukaryota; Euglenozoa; Kinetoplastea; Trypanosomatida; Trypanosomatidae. The record is from RNAcentral.